GGGGAAUAUUGGACAAUGGGCGCAAGCCUGAUCCAGCCAUGCCGCGUGAGUGAUGAAGGCCCUAGGGUUGUAAAGCUCUUUCACCGGUGAAGAUAAUGACGGUAACCGGAGAAGAAGCCCCGGCUAACUUCGUGCCAGCAGCCGCGGUAAUACGAAGGGGGCUAGCGUUGUUCGGAUUUACUGGGCGUAAAGCGCACGUAGGCGGACUUUUAAGUCAGGGGUGAAAUCCCAGAGCUCAACUCUGGAACUGCCUUUGAUACUGGAAGUCUUGAGUAUGGUAGAGGUGAGUGGAAUUCCGAGUGUAGAGGUGAAAUUCGUAGAUAUUCGGAGGAACACCAGUGGCGAAGGCGGCUCACUGGACCAUUACUGACGCUGAGGUGCGAAAGCGUGGGGAGCAAAC
This 400-nucleotide ribosomal RNA is filed under the name uncultured bacterium. RNAcentral's name for it is "bacterial SSU rRNA". It matches the Rfam family "Bacterial small subunit ribosomal RNA", at positions 356 to 773 of the family's 1533-position model. The record is from RNAcentral.